This 810-nucleotide ribosomal RNA is filed under the name uncultured Microbacteriaceae bacterium. RNAcentral's name for it is "bacterial SSU rRNA". It matches the Rfam family "Bacterial small subunit ribosomal RNA", at positions 74 to 896 of the family's 1533-position model. The record is from RNAcentral. Lineage: Bacteria; Bacillati; Actinomycetota; Actinomycetes; Micrococcales; Microbacteriaceae.
AGGAGCUUGCUCCUUGGAUCAGUGGCGAACGGGUGAGUAACACGUGAGUAACCUGCCCCAAACUCUGGGAUAAGCACUGGAAACGGUGUCUAAUACCGGAUACGAGCUUCAGCCGCAUGGCUAGGAGUUGGAAAGAAUUUCGGUUUGGGAUGGACUCGCGGCCUAUCAGCUAGUUGGUGAGGUAAUGGCCCACCAAGGCGACGACGGGUAGCCGGCCUGAGAGGGUGACCGGCCACACUGGGACUGAGACACGGCCCAGACUCCUACGGGAGGCAGCAGUGGGGAAUAUUGCACAAUGGGCGCAAGCCUGAUGCAGCAACGCCGCGUGAGGGACGGCGGCCUUCGGGUUGUAAACCUCUUUUAGUAGGGAAGAAGCGAAAGUGACGGUACCUGCAGAAAAAGCACCGGCUAACUACGUGCCAGCAGCCGCGGUAAUACGUAGGGUGCAAGCGUUGUCCGGAAUUAUUGGGCGUAAAGAGCUCGUAGGCGGUUUGUCGCGUCUGCUGUGAAAACCCGAGGCUCAACCUCGGGCCUGCAGUGGGUACGGGCAGACUAGAGUGCGGUAGGGGAGAUUGGAAUUCCUGGUGUAGCGGUGGAAUGCGCAGAUAUCAGGAGGAACACCAAUGGCGAAGGCAGAUCUCUGGGCCGUAACUGACGCUGAGGAGCGAAAGCAUGGGGAGCGAACAGGAUUAGAUACCCUGGUAGUCCAUGCCGUAAACGUUGGGAACUAGAUGUGGGGACCAUUCCACGGUCUCCGUGUCGCAGCUAACGCAUUAAGUUCCCCGCCUGGGGAGUACGGCCGCAAGGCUA